GCGAGUGAAAACUCCCUAAACCCACUGUAAAUCUACCUGUAUCGUUCUUUCGGCAGGCGGCCUCUGGGAGGGGCCGUGGCCUGUAGCGGGUGCCUGCCGAAAGACGUCGAAACUCUUGCUGUUUCAGUGCAUUCUGAGUCUAAAACAAAACUAUCA
This 156-nucleotide unclassified non-coding RNA is filed under the name uncultured fungus. Its description in RNAcentral is "sequence contains ITS1". Lineage: Eukaryota; Fungi. The record is from RNAcentral.